AUUGAACGCUGGCGGCAGGCCUAACACAUGCAAGUCGAGCGAGCGGCGGACGGGUGAGUAAUGGAUGGGGACUGCCCGUGAGGGGGGGAUAACUACAGGAAACGGUGGCUAAUACCGCAUCCGGUAGGAUAAACAAUAUGGGAUUAGUUAGUAGGUACGGUAAUGGCUGACCUAGGCGACGAUCCCUAGCUGGUCAGGGAGGAUGAUCAGCCAGCCUGGGACUGAGACACGGCCCAGACUCCUACGGAGGCAGCAGUGGGGAAUAUUGCACAAUGGGCGCAAGCCUGAUGCAGCCAUGCCGCGUGUAUGAAGAAGGCCCUAGGGUUGUAAAGUACUUUCAGUCGGGAGGCGUUACCGACAGAAGAAGCACCGGCUAACUCCGUGCCAGCAGCCGCGGUAAUUC
This 403-nucleotide ribosomal RNA is filed under the name uncultured bacterium. RNAcentral describes it as "partial 16S ribosomal RNA". It matches the Rfam family "Bacterial small subunit ribosomal RNA", at positions 30 to 526 of the family's 1533-position model. The record is from RNAcentral.